GUGCUCGCUUCAGUAGCACAUAUAUUAUAAUUGGAAAAAAACAGAUAAAUUAGCAUGGCCCCUGUGCAAGGAUGACACACAAAUUUGUGAAGCAUUCCAUAUUUUC
Otolemur garnettii (small-eared galago) is the source of this 106-nucleotide small nuclear RNA. The record is from Ensembl. Lineage: Eukaryota; Metazoa; Chordata; Mammalia; Primates; Galagidae.